This 253-nucleotide ribosomal RNA is filed under the name uncultured bacterium. RNAcentral describes it as "partial 16S ribosomal RNA". It matches the Rfam family "Bacterial small subunit ribosomal RNA", at positions 524 to 776 of the family's 1533-position model. The record is from RNAcentral.
UACGUAGGUGGCGAGCGUUGUCCGGAUUUAUUGGGCGUAAAGCGCCCGCAGGCGGCUUGAUAAGUUUCAGGUGAAAUCUCCUGGCUUAACUGGGAGGGGUCCUGGAAAACUGUCAGGCUUGAGGCAGGGAGAGGGAUGUGGAAUUCCCGGUGUAGUAGUGAAAUGCGUAGAUAUUGGGAGGAACACCGGUGGCGAAGGCGGCCCCCUGGACCGGUACUGACGCUGAGGCGCGAAAGCGUGGGGAGCAAACGGG